GGCCGAUCCAAGUCACUGACCAUUAUGAGGUUCUUGAGGAAACUCACCUGGCUAGCUGCAUGCCACAAUUUCUUCUUGUUAUGUGUCCAUGUCCCAGGUGUUUGUAACACGGCUGCUGACAAUUUGUCUCGUUUCAAUUUACAGGCUUUUCGGCAAAUACUUCCGUCAGCCGCACGCACAGCCACGACCACUCCACCUUUCC
This is a non-coding RNA of Pelobates cultripes (western spadefoot toad), 202 nucleotides long. The record is from the annotation of a GenBank genome assembly. NCBI's taxonomy places the organism in Eukaryota, Metazoa, Chordata, Amphibia, Anura, Pelobatidae.